AGAGUUUGAUCCUGGCUCAGAACGAACGCUGGCGGCAGGCUUAACACAUGCAAGUCGAACGAUAUAGUGGCAGACGGGUGAGUAACGCGUGGAAACGUGCCUUUCACUACGGAAUAGCUUUUGGAAACGAAAGGUAAUACCGUAUACNCCCACCGGGGAAAGAUUUAUCGGUGAAAGAUCGGUCCGCGUUAGAUUAGCUAGUUGGUGAGGUAACGGCUCACCAAGGCUACGAUCUAUAGCUGGUCUGAGAGGAUGAUCAGCCACACUGGGACUGAGACACGGCCCAGACUCUACGGGAGGCAGCAGUGGGGAAUAUUGCACAAUGGGCGCAAGCCUGAUGCAGCCAUGCCGCGUGAGUGAUGAAGGCCUUAGGGUUGUAAAAUUCUUUCGCCAGGGAUGAUAAUGACAGUACCUGGUAAAGAAGCCCCGGCUAACUUCGUGCCAGCAGCCGCGUAAUACGAAGGGGGCUAGCGUUGUUCGGAAUUACUGGGCGUAAAGCGCACGUAGGCGGACUUUUAAGUCAGAUGUGAAAUCCCGAGGCUCAACCUCGAACUGCAUUUGAAACUGGGAGUCUAGAGAUCAGGAGAGGUUAGCGGAAUACCGAGUGUAGAGGUGAAAUUCGUAGAUAUUCGGUGGAACACAGUGGCGAAGGCGGCUAACUGGACUGAUACUGACGCUGAGGUGCGAAAGUGUGGGGAGCAAACAGGAUUAGAUACCCUGGUAGUCCACACCGUAAACGAUGAGUGCUAGUUGUCUGCAGGCAUGCCUGUAGGUGACGCCAGCUAACGCAUUAAGCACUCCGCCUGGGGAGUACGGCNGCAAGGUUAAAACUCAAAGAAAUUGACGGGGGNSCACAAGCGGUGGAGCAUGUGGUUUAAUUCGAAGCAACGCGCAGAACCUUACCUACGCUUGACAUGCCCGGACGAUUUCCAGAGAUGGAUCUCCUUCUCGGGNNCGGUSACAGGUGCUGCAUGGCUGUCGUCAGCUCGUGUCGUGAGAUGUUGGGUUAAGUCCCGCAACGAGCGCAACCCUCAUCCUUAGUUGCCAUCACGUUUGGGUGGGCACUCUAGGGAAACUGCCGGUGCUAAGCCGGAGGAAGGCGGGGAUGACGUCAAGUCCUCAUGGCCCUUACGCGUAGGGCUACACACGUGCUACAAUGGCAGUGACAAUGGGAUAAUCCCCAAAAGCUGUCUCAGUUCGGAUUGUCGGCUGCAACUCGCCGGCAUGAAGUUGGAAUCGCUAGUAAUCGUGGAUCAGCAUGCCAC
Molecule: ribosomal RNA, 1265 nt
Filed under: marine snow associated bacterium Adriatic7
Lineage: Bacteria
Description: bacterial SSU rRNA
Rfam family: Bacterial small subunit ribosomal RNA
Source: RNAcentral